Molecule: ribosomal RNA, 253 nt
Filed under: uncultured bacterium
Lineage: Bacteria
Description: partial 16S ribosomal RNA
Rfam family: Bacterial small subunit ribosomal RNA
Source: RNAcentral
UACGUAGGGUGCAAGCGUUAAUCGGAAUUACUGGGCGUAAAGCGUGCGCAGGCGGUUGUGCAAGACAGAUGUGAAAUCCCCGGGCUUAACCUGGGAACUGCAUUUGUGACUGCACGGCUAGAGUGCGGCAGAGGGGGAUGGAAUUCCGCGUGUAGCAGUGAAAUGCGUAGAUAUGCGGAGGAACACCGAUGGCGAAGGCAAUCCCCGUGGGCCUGCACUGACGCUCAUGCACGAAAGCGUGGGAGCAAACAGG